RNAcentral lists this long non-coding RNA (6631 nucleotides) under Daucus carota (carrot). RNAcentral's name for it is "long non-coding RNA (DCAR_LNC007024)". Lineage: Eukaryota; Viridiplantae; Streptophyta; Magnoliopsida; Apiales; Apiaceae. The record is from RNAcentral.
GGCGGGUUGAAUAAUCAAGAAGAUCCCAACUCAUUCUAGGUUCUAACUAUCACUGAGCAACCCAUGCUUCAAUGACGGUCUGAACUUCGAAUUAAUUUGUAAAGCUGAUACUUAUAAAAUCUUGAGGAUUGGAAAGAAUGGAUCAGAAUACUUGUAAUAGAAAUUGAGAGUAAUGAGGUGUUUGGUUUUUCAAAACUUGGAAGAAGAAAACAAUCAUGGGUUUCAUUCUUAGAAAUAAGAGUUUAUUUGAGAAGGGUUUCAGUAUAAACCAUAUCAUAAUCUUGACAGAAUAAUCAGAACAUGCAAUAUAUAUUUGAGGAAGGAUUUAGGAAAACUUGUCUUAAAUCCGAUUCCACACACAGCUUAGUCUUAUCUUUCCAUCUCACAAUCUAUGCAUAUCAUAACCUCCCGACCAUCUCUGGAUAUACUCUAUUCGUAAUACGAAUUCGUUUCUUCGAUUCGUCUCUUCGAUUCGUCUCUUAUUCGCUUUGCAACAUCAUUUGACCUUCUGAACGUCUUCGAUCGUAUACGUCUCGUCCAAAUCCUUUACGAGAAUAAAAUACUACCAUAAUCACUAAAUAAUCUAUUGAUUCUUAUCUUACUAAUCAAACUCGGUACCAUAACCUAUCGCAUAUACAUACCACGUAUAUCGAUAACAUUCAACACAUAAUCAGAUAUCAACCUAUAUAGUGUCUAUGCACUUAUCAGAUAUCACUUAACAUAUAAUCAUGCUUUGACUCUAUCAUAUAGUCACGUUAUACUCCACAUAGCAUACUAUAACUCAAUCACCGUAUAGAUUCUAUUGAAAAUCUGACAGCGUCUCGUCUAUUUAUAAGACUAUCCAUUUGUUAACCUAUUCCAACCAACAACCAAUCAAUCAAAUCAAAUUCCUGUAAUCCACAUAUUCUUAUUCAACAUUAAUCAAGACAAGAUACUAUGUCUCCCAAAUCAUUUAUUAAAUCAAAAAUGGACACGUAUUUCAUGUAAUCAUCACUAUAUAGAAAAUAGAUCACGUAUAGUCACAUUAUGCAUUUUAAACAAUAUGUAUACACAUUGGAGACUCAUCCAUAUUGUUACAUCAUAUUAAACUAGACUUUAUAAGCUUUAACCUCUUUUUCGUUUCACUCGAUUCUGAAUUACGGGUCAAAAGUUAUGAUCAAAACCGUUUUCUCACUCUCCUAUCGACACAUAACACAUCCAACCAAUAGCAGACAACAUUUUUCACACAAGUCUUCACACCCCAAUUGAUGUCAAAUCAAGUCUCAUGUUAAAAAUGAUUUUUCGGGAAUUUUCUGAAAUUUCUAGACAUUUUUCAGAAUUAAAACGGGUAAAAGAAUCCAUUUUUGAAUAAAUCAUCAAGUCCGAUUGCUCAUGAUCGGAUCCAAAAUCAUUUGGAAUCAAUUAACGAGCCUCGAGCAUAUUUUAGAAAAAUAAUCCAAAGUUCGAAUUAUUUUUCGGAAUUUUCAAAUCAAAAUGAAUAAUUAAAUCUAAUUAAUUAAUCAAUUAAAAUCAAUUAAUAAUUAAUUAAAAUAAUUAAUCAAUUAAUAUUCAAAUUAAUUGACCAAUUAAAAUAAUUAAUUACUAAUUAAAUUUAAUUAAUAAACUAAUUUCAGAUUUAUUUUUGAAUAAAGAAGUAAUUGAAAACUAUUUUUGAAAACUAAGAUAAUUAAAUAAAACAAUUUUAGAAAAUUAAAUCAAAAGGUUUAUUUUGUAAACUUUUGAAAGUUUUCGGCCAGGGUUUAAAGUGCAACUUUUCAAAGUUACAGGGGGUAAUUCAUAAGUUUGAAAACCUGGGUACCACAACUUCAUCACCUUCAAAAGUAGGAGGGCCAAACUGCACUUUUGCAGCGGCACCUCCCCCAUCGCCGUUAAUCGCCGGAAUCGGCGUUUCAAGGAUCCUUUCCCCACCAGAAACUGCAGAUCUCAAAUACGGACCACCAGGAACAUGUACGUGUGGUUAAAAUCAUCAGAAACUAUGUGUACAAUCCGGAAAAACGAAGCAAAGCUUCGUCGCCACCGUGGAUAAAUUUCCCCGGCGAGCUCCCUACAAACUUCCUCCACUACUUCUUAAUAUCUCAAUCGAUUCCUCUCAACACAAUACACAUGCUAGUAAGCUUCGUUUUAGCCCAGAUUACCCAGAAAAGAAACGCCCAAUUUUAAUUAAAAAGCUUCAAGAACGUUCAAGAACACAGCCCAAUAAUCAAACUAACUUUUCUAUAUGAUUCCGAACUCGAAAUUCAACAUAUAAUAUAUGAAAACGAAUGGCAGGAGACGCUCUACAACAUGGAAUCAUCAAAUCACAUAAACAAGAUCGUUUGCAAAAAUUCAUAUUUAAAAUCCAAAUAAUUCGAAAUUAAAAGGUUAAAUCAGUAAUAACCUGUUAAUUCUGCACUUAUACGGAUGAUUACAAUAGAUUCCACGCGUCGAGAGCUUCGUUUUGACUAUUUAUACACCUCCAUCGGAUUCCAAUAACACCUUCAAAUCCUCGUUUGAUUGCGAAGAACACGAAGAACACCGCUAACUUCCUCUCUCGAUAAUCGUGAAGAGAAACUAGUGAAAUGAUUGUACGUGCGAAAAACUAUAGAAAAGGCUAUUUAUAGAGGAAGAUAAGAGAAUAUUCCUUGAAUAUGCUUUGGAAUAUUCUUAGAAUAUGCUUUAGAAUAUUCCUGGAAUAUACUUCACGUAUUUCGAGACAACCAGAUAAUUAUUAACUUUAAAAAUAUUAGCAAAAUCGUACCGGACCAUUUACGGGGCAAACCGUACUCCGGAUUGAAAAAGUUAAAACACGAGAAAUGCUCAGAAUGUCCCAAAUAGCCUAAUGGCGAAAUUUUCCCGAACGCCCACGGGGUUUAAAAUGCUAAAUAACUAUUUUAAUAUAAUUAAUAAUUAAACGAGAUUAAAUCCAUAAAUCGAUUAUAAAAUCAUGUAACAAUCCAUAAAUCGAUAUGAACAUAUCUAAAUAAACUAUAUUUUAUCCUGAUCAUAUAGAAAUUGAAAUAUCUCAAAUCCGAACAUAUAUGAGCAGUCAAUUUAAUAAACCAGAUAACACAAACCUCACAAAUAUUCAUAUAAAUAUCAUAUACUAUUCAUAAAUUAUCAAGAAAAUACCCAAAUGUUCCAUAUUUUAUUAUGAGAAUAUGAAAAUUGAAAACUCGUGAUUGCAACAUAUAUAAGCAAUCAAAAUAGAAAACCAGUUGUCAUAUAAUUUACCAAAUAUUCAUAUAAUAUUUACAUAAUAUUCAGAAAUAACCAUAACUAAUUACGCGAUCAUUACACACGUAACACUUAAUCACGUAACACAUAUAUUCACAUAUCAACCAUCUAACUUUUACAUGACAAACCUCUGUAUUUCCAGAAAUAAUAUUUGAAAUGAGUUUUGAAAGGAUAUUCAUAUAUCCGUAUAUAAAUCAUUUGAAAAUAUCUAAAUAACAUAGGACUCAUUCUGAUAAUAUCAAUAAUUAAACUCACAGAUCUGGCACAUAUAAAUAACAAUUACAGAAAUCAAUUUACACCAAAAUUCAUCCAAUAUUCACAUUUAAUUAUCAUAACUAAUUAAACUCAAAAUUCACAUGCAACACUUAGCCAUGUAAUAACUAUACUCACAUAGCAAUCUCUUAAAUCUUUAAAAUCAAUUAUAUAAAAUAUAAUUUUGAAAAGACAACCUUGUAUCAAUGAUACAAUAACCUGGAACUCAAAUAUACAAUUUGUAAACACAUUAAACUGGAAUAAAAUAUUAAACUUUAUUCCUUUCCUUCUAAGAAAAUAACUUUCAUACUGAUAAACAAUUUUUUUGAAAAAUCCGGGUCGUGAAAAUAUACAAAAUCACAGAAGAAGAAUGCAUAAUCGGUUUAAACCUUAUAAUUCACAUCACCAUUAUACUCAUACUACACAGACCAUUCAUCUCAUCAAAAAAAUCAACUAAAGCCAAUAAUAAUAUUCAAAAACUUAUUUCUAUAUUAAUAAGCUAAUUCUGAAAAUCUGGGAUGUUACAUUCUACCCCCCUUAUAAGGAUUCUGUCCUCGGAAUCCGCGAAAAGAACUACAAUGUACAUGCUUCGUAAUUCAUCCUCCACCUUUAAUCGAUCUUGGCAUACCUUUGACUUUAAAAAUAAGAGUAUCAAAACUUUCACAAUUAUAAAGUUCAGUUCUUAGAAUCAAUCUUUAAGAACUUAGAAUGGAAAAAAAAAUGUUCUCAAAAUAGGUAAUAUUUGAAUAAUAGAGUGACUGAGAGAUCAAUAUGAUCAAAUGAACUUAGUGUUGCGUGCCCAUAUUAGACACUACUAAAGGUUGUUAACCUUCUUGUAAUCACAACACACACAAGUGAUGGCGUCCCAUCCAACUCCUAUCACACAGAUAGGUAUACCUUGUGUCCCCGAUAUAUAGGGUUGUUCAUCCCAAUCAGAUGGAAGAAAUACCAAGGAAUCUUAAAGAAUACCAAAGAAUAUCAAGAGAUAUCAAGGUAUAUCAAAGAAUAUUACGGAAUGUCAAGGAAUAUCAGGAAAUAUCAUUGUCUUUUUCACAACCACUUUUAUCACACACCAAAAUCAAUACCACUCAUAUCAAUAAUCAAUACUAAUGUUUUCUCGUCAUUCGAGAAAUGGAAAAUCUCAUUUAUCAAAACUUUUGUAGAAAAGGUAUAAUGGCUCAAUGAUGAUGAAAAGAGUUAACAUAAGCUUUUCUUGAAAAAAGAUAUUGCCAAGGUCUUCUCAAAUUCUUGCUCUGCUCCAAUAAACCGUUGUUCAAUGUAUGUCUUCUUCUCGACGUUCUCGCUCGUGAUAGCUUCGUAGGAUUCCUUGUAGCCAUUAUUAUUCGCAUUGAAGUUGGCUCAUCUUGAUAUCAGAUGAAAUCCUGGUUAGCUUAAAGCGUCGUCGUCGAAGACUAACGUUCUAUCUUACUCACAACAUCACUUCUGAUAACUAGACUCAAUUCCACAUACUCUCUAUCAUUCACAUCUCAUCUAUCUACAAAACUCUCUUUCUAAUCCAAUAUAUCUCAUAUUCACACCCAUUCUUUUACAUCUUAAUCCAAACGAUAAACCACUUUCACCUAUGUAACGUGGUCAGAAUACUCUAACCCAUGCACCUUGAUCAUUCUUAACUUAAUCACUCACUAUUAAUACUCUUUUGACUAGGUCUAAUUCUGACUCUUAUCACAAAUUACUAUCUCAAUCAGUCCCCAUACUAGAAAAUAAGUAUCUGGACUUAGGAACCAUGAUCUAUCUAAACAUAUACCUUCAAUUUAACUUAACUAUCUAGAUUCUAUUCCGAUUACCUCUCUAGACUAUCCCCAGACAGUCUCACAAUACCUCUAUAUGAGGUCACAAAACACUUCCUCUCUAUAAAACUCAUAACCACAAUCUAUAUUCUAAUUUCAAUAACUUAUAACCUGUUGCUCUGAUACCAACUGUGACAGCCCGAGAAUCCGGGGGUCUGGAUUCUGACGUCACCACACAAAACCCAUUUUUAAACACUUUUGAAAACCUGUAUUUUUUAGAAGAUAAUAAAAACCAAAGCAUUUAAUACUUUAAGACUUUAAUAAAAGAUUUAAAAGAAAACACUUUAACCCCCUAAAAACAGGAUCGCAUCCAGGUUACAGUAUUGAAAUUAGAAUCAACCAUUAUCAAUAACCAAUGUCUUACAAUCUCAGAUCAUCUUUGAUAAGAAGAAUCACUGCCAAUCUAUUAAAUUAUGAUUACAACUGAUUCUCAAUAAUACAACUCUAUCUAGAACCAACCUUGUCAAUUUCCCUGAACAUUUCCACCUGUUCUCUGUAUACUCUAUAACUCUGACUCCUCGCCUAGCCUUAGCCAUACUCGCAAUCUCAAUCAAGCAAUUCAUCUUUAAGCUUUUCUGAAAUGGUUAAAAAGGAAUAGCAAGGGUGAGCAACAAUGCUCAGCAAGUAUGUAUAUAAGCAACAAUAGUCCUGAAAUGUCUUGUCAGGGUUCACAAGUUCAGGAUAUGUAAUUGAAAACUUCACAAUUCUUACCAGCAAUUGAAAUCAGAAUUCAAACUUACAGAAGAAUUGUCGAAUUGGAUUCAUCACAUUUUUACUUAAAACCCAAAGGUUAGGCUGCUGAUCAGUCACGCACUAACCCCGAACAUGGCACACAGCCCUGUUCUCUAUACUGGAUCCAAGGCACACAUUGGCCUAUAACUGACCACGAAUCUGGUCCACAUAUUUUAUAAAAACUAAUCCAAUUCUAACAAUUUAAAUCAAUAGAAAAUUCAAUCAGCAGAACGGAAUCAUAAUCAUUAUCAACAACAGAAAUAUUCUAAAUCAACUUUUGAGAAUCAACAUUUCAUAAACCACAGUCCGUUCUUUGAUAAAACAUAAUUCAGGAAAUUCCUAACUAUUAAGUAUCCUCCAUUAUCGGCUAAGCAACUGAAUUUAGCCUGCUAAACCAGCAUGACAAUGGCGGGUUGAAUAAUCAAGAAGAUCCCAACUCAUUCUAGGUUCUAACUAUCACUGAGCAACCCAUGCUUCAAUGACGGUCUGAACUUCGAAUUAAUUUGUAAAGCUGAUAUUUAUAAAAUCUUGAGGAUUGGAAAGAAUGGAUCAGAAUACUUGUAAUAGAAAUUGAGAGUAAUGAGGUGUUUGGUUUUUCAAAACUUGGAAGAAGAAAACAAUCAUGG